Molecule: ribosomal RNA, 406 nt
Filed under: uncultured bacterium
Lineage: Bacteria
Description: partial 16S ribosomal RNA
Rfam family: Bacterial small subunit ribosomal RNA
Source: RNAcentral
AUUGAACGCUGGCGGCAGGCCUAACACAUGCAAGUAGAACGAGUUGCGAACGGGUGAGUAACGCGUGGUAACCUGCCUCAUAGCGGGGGAUAACUAUUGGAAACGAUAGCUAAUACCGCAUACUUUUGGAUGGACCUGCGUUGGAUUAGCUAGUAGGUGGGGUAACGGCUCACCUAGGCGACGAGCGCUAGCUGGUCUGAGAGGAUGACCAGCCACACUGGCACUGAGACACGGUCCAGACUCCUACGGGAGGCAGCAGUGGGGAAUAUUGCACAAUGGGCGCAAGCCUGAUGCAGCCAUGCCGCGUGUAUGAAGAAGGCCUUCGGGUUGUAAAGUACUUUCAGCGAGGAGGCGUUACUCGCAGAAGAAGCACCGGCUAACUCCGUGCCAGCAGCCGCGGUAAUAC